AGAUACAAACCAAGUGUAAUCAAAGAGGAUAUGAAUUCAGUACGACCAUGAGUGAAGGAACGCUACUCCAAUUUGGAUCUUGGAGAAUGUUUUCUCAGUGUGGUUCAGGUUAAAUUGUUGUCCUACUGUUCCUGCUCAGCCUCCUAAUGUUCUAUGUCUUCGCUGCGCCUUCUUCCAGCUUCUCUAUUGGUUUUCUCUUCACACCGAUGAAAGUGCAUGUUCCUCCCUUCCUCCAAAUCUUCUCCGGCCAUGGUUGUUUGCAUCUGGUCACAGUUGUUUCAUGUUUCACUUUUGUUGGUGGUUCACGCGUCGGCCUUAGUGCUCUAAGCAAACCAACAUUUCUCAUCUUGGCGAUUGUAUUAUUGGGGCUUUUCUACAUCUAUAGGUUUGAAUCUCAUGUGGCUCCUGCGCCCAACCACCAUCUCCUCCCUAGCUAAGCAAGAGGUUCAAAGGACACCGCUACAUCUUCCUUGCCGCCCAGCAGGAGGGGCACUAGGUGUGCCUCAUGUUUAGUUAAUGCCCACUGAUUGUGAUGUUCAUUCUAUGGGGAAUUUUGUUUACUUUUUAUAUUUUGUGCAUUUUCUAUUUCAUGUAUUGGUCAGUGGUCCUAAAUCCCAUGUGAUUUCUUCAUUCUUCAGGAAAAGUACAUAUCAGGAGAGCCAUUUAUUAGAGGAUCUUCUUGAUGGUUUUUUACAUUUGGUUCCUGAUGUUCUGCUUCUUGGGGUUUGCUCAUUUCCUUUCUAGCUAGAAAUACCAUAUUUUCCUCUUUGCGUGUACUGACUUGGUGUUUGGUUCGCUGCUUGUCUUAAUAUUCUGGAUUUAGCUGGGCAUCAUGUUUUGUUCAGCCUCAUGCUCCUAAGUGUAUCUCACACUGUAUAGGAAUCUGUCAUGCGGGGACCUUGCCUUUUAUGCUUCUUCUUGAUAAUAGAAGUAUUGAAUAUACCUGUUUCUUCUGCUCAAACAUUUUGGCUAAGUGGCGAUAUUCCAAAUAAAUGGAUGUAUCUUGAACAAAGGAGAUGUCUGAUGGUUUCUUAAUUUCGUUGACUAACUAGGGAGUUCAAGGAUGAUGACUAAAGUUUUGUCAUUACUGGCUAAUACUUGGCGACGAUGUGUCCAUCAGAAAUGAUCCGAUUAUCCUCUGUUGUAUUAUAUUUUCUACUUUUUUUGUAAAUAUGUAUGGAUGUACAUGCACACUCUUUCGAUGUCUGAAAAUGACCGUCAUCCCUCAGUGGGCAAAGAUGAUUUUGUUGAACAGUUUCAGUAUCUGUUACAUAGCGUAUUCUUUCCAAUGUAGAAGGUAGCAGCCGACUCUGCAUUGCUGUGGUGCUUAUAUUAUGGAGUAGUUAAGUUAUUCUCCCUCUGUAAAGAAAUAUAAGAGCGAAACACUCUUAUAUUUCUUUACAGAGGGAGUAUUCCACAAUAUUUAGGAUGUCAACUUUCAGCCAAUUGGUUAGUGGAUGUAAGAGCAUCUCUAGCCGAUCCUUAAAAAUCUUUAGCGGAUAGUCUAGUCGUAUACAAGCUGACUGCUCCUCAGGAAGGCUUGCUAUAGGUUACCAAACACUAGCAGGCGAGGUAUGCACUUGAACUUAUUUGCUCUGAAUUAUGCUAUCUAUUUGAUCUGCUAGCUAUUUUAUUGCUUCAUUUCUCCCUGAUCGCAUUUUUGUAUACAUGCACGCACUCUCAUUUCAAAAAUCAGUGACGGUCUCCUUCCAGCUGCACUGCUACUGCAAUUGAACAGCGAUUUAUACUUAGACCGCUUGCUUGCGCUUGAUGUGUCUGUUUUCUAUUCUAGCAAAUCGUCAUGCCCUAGGCACAGUGCCAAACACGUCUUGUUUGUGGCUGACCCCAAAAGGACUUCUGCACUAGAAGAACAUGUCCUCAAGGCCGUGACAAAGCAGCAGAGGUUAUAUAAUUUACAUAUCUGGAACUGCUUUAGACCAUUGGUGUUAUCAGUACGACGAAUUUCGGUCCUAUAACUGAACUAUUCCUUUUCCCGUUGUAUUUAUAAGUGACAUGUGUGUGGUUUUUUGCAGUACAUAGUAUAUGUAUGCAUUUCUUCAGUGGGGAGAUUAGUGCAUGAUGUCAUAUACACAAUUCAGAAAAUUUGUUUGAUAAUACUUAAGUGUAGGUUAGUCUAUUCUUUCAAGGAGAAAAGAGUAGGUCAAAUUAAUGAAAGACUGAGGUUGUUUGACGGCCGGACCAAGAAGAGCAAGGAGCCAACAAUGGUCAAUUUCUUGCAUCCCAUCCUGGACUCUAAAAGAUUUCAGUUUGCUAUAGGCUAUAGUUUGACUUUUUGCUUCUUGAAGUGAAUGGUAAAGCACCAUGUUGGUUACAUUAGAUUUGUUUGUCAGGCUUGUCUAAAGUCAAUAAUUUCUUGAUCCAUUUUCAAUUUAAGUAAACCAUCCAUAUAAUCAUGAUUUGUUUACCCUAUUCGGUGUUUCUGUUGUGCUUUGUUUUUGUUUGAAGGUUUGGGCUGGAUUGGAUAUCCAAAUGUUUGUGAAUUAUACUUGAUUAAUUGCUUGCUAAAACAAAGAAAGCAUCCAGCAGCACCUCAACCAGGUGUCACAAGAGAACUGAACUAAAUUUCUCAGCUACACAUGUAGUCUUAACAUUGCUAGCUGUUGUCCCUAGAAAUCAUUUAUAGCUGUUGUAUAAGGAUAUUGUAGUUUAUCUUAGUAGGGAAUAGUGUGAUGUUUUCUCUAUUUAAAUUCUAACAUUUUAAACCUCAAACAGAUGGGUUCGUUUGGGAAGGAUCUUGAGCUGUUAGACUCAGCUAGAAUUUUGCCAAUGAGAAUUAGAGACCAGACAACUGCACUUAAGCUUGCUAAGCUACCCAUUUAUUCCUUCUAUUCGUUGAUUAUAGGAACAACACAUGCAUUCAUCAUACAAACCUGCAGCUUAUGUGCGAUAAGAUGGACUCGACAUAAAGAAGUUUCUCUUCGUCUGCUCUGAUUUUUGAGCCAAGACCCUUGGGAGUUUGUCUAGCCUCAUUAUCAAAAGUGUGCAUCAGUUAGUUAUGACCUCAUCUCUUCAGUGAGAUGUUUUCCUCCAUGAAGGAUAUCCCUGACGAUCACAGGGAAUGCUCCAAACAAAAGAAAAUAAUUGUAUCAGCCUGCGAAGCGUAAAUGCUGGACUAUUGUUUCUCCCCUGAUGCACAUGUUUCGCCACAGACAAUAUAGUGUGUGUGUGUGUGUGUGUGUGUGAUCUCUGAAAUUAGUUUUUAGGUUAUUCUAUGUGUUGAGUACUUCUGUAAUUUCCACGGGCGUGUUUCAUAUUUUCUGUGUAUUGUCUAUCAUUCUUUUAAUCGUUAAUAUUUCUUGUAGUUUUUCAUAUUUAGUUUCAGCCGCGUUUCAUUUCUCGCAGACCUACACCUAUUAGGAAAAGCAUAGUUUCAUUUUGAUCAUGUUUCUUUUAGUUAUUCAGUGUUUGUUCAUUAAUGUAGCAGAGUAAGCAGUACAUUUUGUCCAUUAGUUAAAUCACUCAUGUCACAUUCAGUUGAUUAGGUUCAGUUUUUGUUCCUUUCUUCUUCGUUCCUUCAGUUUUUUGUUCCUUUAUUUAGUCAUUGUGCUUGCACCAUUUGCCGGUAUUUGAUUCAAUAUAACCAUUUAGUCCAUCUCAAUAGACCCUUAUGGUUCUUGAUAGUUUCUCUCUUUCAUAGAUCAGACUUUUCCGCUUUUUCAGUUAGGCUAAUUUAUGCUUUCAAUUUCAGUUUUUAGUCUUCGCUUGAUUUAGUUGGACAGUGUGUUCAGUAUUUCAAUAGUUCAGUUGUUUCAUUGAUUGAUAUGUGCAUUUUCGUACUUAGUGAAGCAUCUUAAUGCAUUUUCAUACUUUGUGAAGCAUCUUAAUUUGAUUGAUAUGUGCAUUCAGUUGAGAACUCACAAGUAGAACAACUGUGCUUCACUUCAUCAGAUGGUAAUUUUUAUCGGUUAUAGACUUAUAGUUACAAUUACUAGAAGUAGCAAAGGUCUGCGUUUGUUUAGACCUUGAGUUGGUAGCUAUGCCUUUUUUGUUUCAGAUCAUAUGUUGGUACUUCAUUUUACUCAGAUCAUAUGAAGGUGAGUGUAAUUGUGUAAUCUGGAUUAGACGCAAUGAAAUUCAGAAGUAGUAGAAGUAUACUAUUUUUUACUUUCUGAUUACUAUAGAAGUACACCGCUGCAUGGUACUCCCUCUGUUCCUAAAUAUAAGUCUUUG
RNAcentral lists this ribosomal RNA (4191 nucleotides) under Triticum aestivum (bread wheat). RNAcentral describes it as "partial small subunit ribosomal RNA". Lineage: Eukaryota; Viridiplantae; Streptophyta; Magnoliopsida; Poales; Poaceae. The record is from RNAcentral.